UGGGGAAUAUUGCACAAUGGGCGCAAGCCUGAUGCAGCCAUGCCGCGUGUGUGAAGAAGGCCUUCGGGUUGUAAAGCACUUUCAGCGGGGAGGAAGGCGGUGAGGUUAAUAACCUCACCGAUUGACGUUACCCGCAGAAGAAGCACCGGCUAACUCCGUGCCAGCAGCCGCGGAAAUACGGAGGGUGCAAGCGUUAAUCGGAAUUACUGGGCGUAAAGCGCACGCAGGCGGUCUGUCAAGUCGGAUGUGAAAUCCCCGGGCUCAACCUGGGAACUGCAUUCGAAACUGGCAGGCUAUAGUCUUGUAGAGGGGGGUAGAAUUCCAGGUGUGGCGGUGAAAUGCGUAGGGAUCUGGAGGAAUACCGGUGGCGAAGGCGGCCCCCUGGACAAAGACUGACGCUCAGGUGCGAAAGCGUGGGGAGCAAACAGG
Molecule: ribosomal RNA, 429 nt
Filed under: Chloroflexota bacterium
Lineage: Bacteria; Bacillati; Chloroflexota
Description: Chloroflexi bacterium partial 16S ribosomal RNA
Rfam family: Bacterial small subunit ribosomal RNA
Source: RNAcentral